This 253-nucleotide ribosomal RNA is filed under the name uncultured bacterium. Its description in RNAcentral is "partial 16S ribosomal RNA". It matches the Rfam family "Bacterial small subunit ribosomal RNA", at positions 524 to 776 of the family's 1533-position model. The record is from RNAcentral.
UACGAAGGAGGCGAGCGUUGUCCGGAAUUACUGGGCGUAAAGAGCGCGUAGGCGGCACGGUACGACCGGUGUGAAAGCCCCCGGCUCAACUGGGGAGGGUCACCGGUAACGGCCGAGCUAUGAGUGCAGGAGAGGGAAGUGGAACUCCGGGAGUAGCGGUGAAUGCGUAGAGACCCGGAGGAACACCAGUGGCGAAGGCGGCUUCCUGGUCUGCAACUGACGCUGUGGCGCGAAAGCUAGGGGAGCAAACGGG